RNAcentral lists this ribosomal RNA (207 nucleotides) under uncultured bacterium. RNAcentral describes it as "partial 16S ribosomal RNA". It matches the Rfam family "Bacterial small subunit ribosomal RNA", at positions 568 to 774 of the family's 1533-position model. The record is from RNAcentral.
CACGUAGGCGGAUUGUUAAGUCGGGGGUGAAAUCCCGGGGCUCAACCCCGGAACUGCCCUCGAUACUGGCAAUCUAGAGGUCGAGAGAGGUAAGUGGAAUGGCGAGUGUAGAGGUGAAAUUCGUAGAUAUUCGCCGGAACACCAGUGGCGAAGGCGGCUUACUGGCUCGAUACUGACGCUGAGGUGCGAAAGCGUGGGGAGCAAACA